AUGUUUAAUUAAUUUCAACACUUUAUUACUUACUUGAACUAAGAAGUGAUUACGGAAAUCACUUACCUUGUGCAUCCGUGUUCAUAACCGCUUCCUUGCCUCAUCUUGACCCGUUAGCCUUCCAUGCUUGGUCCAUGCUAUGAUUACGGAAAUCACUUACCUCGUGCAUCCAUGUUCGUAACCGCUUCCUUGCCUCAUUUCGACCCGUUAGCCUUUCAUGCUUGGUCCAUGCUAGUGUGGUUCCUAUCCUUUCAUGUCGUCAUGCCAUAAUAAUGUUAGUACUCAUGCUUAUUCAUAUUAAUACACAUUUUCCAGCUCUUAUCUACAUUGACUUUCACUAACACGCAUACGACAUAAAUUAUCAACCACAUUGUUCAGUUAGACAACCUAACGUAAUUCAUAACAUCAUCCUUUACUAGCAUGGUCAUAUAUUAUAUAUUUAGUACACAUUCACAUUCUUGAUUGAAAUUAAGUGAUUAAUAAAAACACAUGGGGAGCAUCGCCCGUUCAAGCACAACGUGCAAGCUUCUAAUGCAUAAUCUUGAUCAUCACAUACAUUCAACCCGAAUUCUCUUUAUGAAUUUCCUCUAAGGCACAUUAUUCAAGUUAGUUUACUACCGACCUCGUCAUUCCCCAAUUCAUUCAUAAAUGUCAAGCCCUUUGAUAAAAUUCUCAUAUCCUAAUAUCACUUGGGCAUUUCAUCAAACACUUGGUGUGCAUGCCAUCACUUAAGCCUAUAGUACAAGUAUUUUAUGCAUACUCUUCCUAGUUCAUAACAUAGAUCAUCAAUUUCAACUAGAAUCAUAUAACUUUUAUGCCAUUAUCUAACAAUAAUUCAUCAUACCCACAUAAUACAUCAUUCUUUCAACAAGAAUUAAACAUAAAUGGUGAUUCAAGUCAUCAUC
This 905-nucleotide long non-coding RNA is filed under the name Helianthus annuus (common sunflower). Lineage: Eukaryota; Viridiplantae; Streptophyta; Magnoliopsida; Asterales; Asteraceae. The record is from RNAcentral.